AUGCAUAUCUGGCAAUCCAUGAUUUUCCCUGUCAAGCGUCUUUGCCUUGCUCUCUCCACUCGCAUCAAACACCGCAAAAACGGAGCAGGAUUGGUGAAGCUUAGGGAUGAUGUACAAACUUGUGAAUAUGAGGAUGUACAAGUCAUGUGGGAAAUGUUACAGAAAACAGAAACUGAAGUCUUACACAACAACAAGCGUCCUUUCUGGAGAGUCUUUGUAUGGUCCAAUUCAUCACAAUCUUCAAAUCACACUGCAUAA
Non-coding RNA from Vicia faba (fava bean), 258 nucleotides. The record is from the annotation of a GenBank genome assembly. Lineage: Eukaryota; Viridiplantae; Streptophyta; Magnoliopsida; Fabales; Fabaceae.